AAUGGAUUUUUGGAGCAGG
RNAcentral lists this microRNA (19 nucleotides) under Macaca fascicularis (crab-eating macaque). RNAcentral's name for it is "microRNA miR-1246-5p". Lineage: Eukaryota; Metazoa; Chordata; Mammalia; Primates; Cercopithecidae. The record is from RNAcentral. RNAcentral also lists the same sequence under 3 other names.